Molecule: non-coding RNA, 396 nt
Filed under: Stegodyphus mimosarum
Lineage: Eukaryota; Metazoa; Arthropoda; Arachnida; Araneae; Eresidae
Description: eukaryotic small subunit ribosomal RNA
Rfam family: Eukaryotic small subunit ribosomal RNA
Source: RNAcentral
AAAUCUUCUGCGGUUAAAAAGCUCGCAGUUGUUCUCAGUUCCAAACGGAUGGUCCACCUUCCGGUGAUUAUUACCUGUUGUGAAUAGCCAUUCGAUUCCCUUUAUCGAUUAUCUUCUAUUCGAUUAUCUUCACCGGUAGUCUUGGUUGACCGGCAAGUUUGCUUUGAAAAUAUUAGUGUGUCCAAAACAGGAGUCACGCCUACAUAAUCGUGCAUUGUAUAAUGGUACUUUGGUUCUAUUUUGUUUGUUUUCGGAUUACGAGGCUAUGAUUAAGAGGAACAGACGGGCGUGAUCGUAUUGUUGCGCUAGAGAUGAAAUUCUUGGGCUGUCGCAGAGUCACCACGUAAUACGGACACGAUGUCUGAUUGGUUUUAAUAUAAUAAACACGCCCGUCCC